UCCAAAGUUACCAGAGGAAGGUAUUUUAUGAAACCCGGCGAGUGAAUCUACCCAGAGCUGAAGCUUCCUUUGCAACUUGGGAACACCAGGGCCACAGUGACUUUGUGGCUUGGCUUUAGAUAAAUUUGACCAUGGCUGUAGAACCCAGCAGCUCAGAAUCCAUUAAAAGGAGAGCUGGGAGGAGGCUCCUGCCAUACGCCAGACAGUUUUGUAGACACGAAGGAUACAGAGAUUAGCAACACCUUUACCAUUUUUGAUGACAGUUAAGCACCCAUCUAAGAAGUUUUCUUUGGUGAGUGCCAAAAAGUGUAACUC
This 315-nucleotide small RNA is filed under the name Pan troglodytes (chimpanzee). RNAcentral describes it as "processed transcript". The record is from RNAcentral. Lineage: Eukaryota; Metazoa; Chordata; Mammalia; Primates; Hominidae.